RNAcentral lists this ribosomal RNA (450 nucleotides) under uncultured Glomeromycotina. RNAcentral describes it as "SSU rRNA". It matches the Rfam family "Eukaryotic small subunit ribosomal RNA", at positions 569 to 1024 of the family's 1831-position model. Lineage: Eukaryota; Fungi; Glomeromycota. The record is from RNAcentral.
AGCAGCCGCGGUAAUUCCAGCUCCAAUAGCGUAUAUUAAAGUUGUUGCAGUUAAAAAGCUCGUAGUUGAAUUUCGGGAUCAGAUUGUCGGUCGUGCCUCGGUACGCACUGGCAUUAUUGGUUCCUACCUUCUGAAGAACCGCGAUGUCAUUAAUUUGGUGUUGUGGGGAAUCAGGACUGUUACUUUGAAAAAAUUAGAGUGUUUAAAGCAGGCGCACGCUUGAAUACAUUAGCAUGGAAUAAUGAAAUAGGACGUUUGAUUCUAUUUUGUUGGUUUCUAGGAUCGACGUAAUGAUUAAUAGGGAUAGUUGGGGGCAUUAGUAUUCAAUUGUCAGAGGUGAAAUUCUUGGAUUUAUUGAAGACUAACUACUGCGAAAGCAUUUGCCAAGGAUGUUUUCAUUAAUCAAGAACGAAAGUUAGGGGAUCGAAGACGAUCAGAUACCGUCGUAGU